AAAAAUGAAGCGCAAGAGCGAAAGGAGGCGAGCCGAGUCGAGGAAAAAGCGCUGUGCAGCUCACAGCAGCUCAGAGGCGGAGCCAAACUCUGAUAUUUACAUUGAGAUAACAGAUCAACUGUAUUUUGCCAUACUUCAGCAAAAGAUCAAGAGCACAGCUGAAAGACACUGUUUCUGCAUCGAUGAAGAACUGGCAUAUGAGAACUUCUAUGCGGACUUUGGUCCCCUUAACCUGGCCAUGUUUUAUCGCUUCUGCUGCAAGCUGACAAAGAAGCUCAAGUCCAUUACACUCUCAAGGAAGAAGAUCAUAUUUUAUACAUGUGGAGAUCAGAAGAAGCAAGCCAAUGCUGCCUAUCUAAUAGGCUCAUAUGCAGUAAUGCAUCUAAAUAUGUUGCCAGAGGAGGCCUACAGUCUGCUGGUGUCAAGAAAUUCAUCAUAUAUUCCAUUCAGAGAUGCUUCAUUUGGAACCUGCAUGUACAAUCUGAACAUCCUAGACUGUCUUCGUGGUGUGCACAAAGCUUUGCAUUAUGGCUGGCUCGACUUCUCUAACUUUGAUGUGGAAGAAUAUGAGCACUAUGAGAGAGCAGAAAAUGGAGACUUGAAUUGGAUCAUUCCAGGAAAGUUCCUUGCAUUCAGUGGGCCGCAUCCAAAAAGCAAAAUAGAGAAUGGGUACCCUUUGCACGCUCCUGAGGCCUACAUCCCAUACUUCAGGAAGCACAACAUCACUACCAUCAUCAGACUCAACAAGAAGAUGUAUGAUGCCCGACGUUUUACAGACUCUGGGUUUGAACAUCAGGACCUCUUCUUUGUGGAUGGAAGCACACCGAAUGAUUCUAUUGUUAGGACGUUUCUCAACAUCUGUGAGAACGCUGAAGGAGCCAUUGCAGUCCACUGUAAAGCUGGGCUAGGAAGGACUGGUACUCUGAUUGCCUGCUAUAUGAUGAAACAUUACCGCCUAACUGCAGCAGAGGCCAUCGCUUGGAUACGGAUCUGCCGACCAGGGUCCAUCAUUGGACCUCAGCAGAACUUUGUUGAAGAGAAGCAGAACAGUCUGUGGGCAGAAGGAGAUGUUUUCCGCGAGAAGAUGCUGAAUGAACGUGAGAAUGGUAAGAUGGCUGUAACCAGGAUCCUAUCUGGAGUGGAUGACAUAACCAUCAAUGGGAGCAACAAGAACAGAGGAUCCAAGAAAGAAGAGAUGGAAAUGUACAAUGAUGAAGAGGAGAGAAAUGGCCUAACACAGGGUGAUAAAUUGCGAGCUCUUAAGAGCAAGAGGCAGGCCAGAUCAUCUUCGGGUUCACUAUCGCAGGUGGUAGUGUUCUGCUGCAGCCUCAUGGGCACGGUGUGGCCGAUGUGUUGCCUGCCGUUCAAAAGAUAGCAGAGAGAGGCAGAGAAAGAGUUGGGGAGAGGAAAAACAGAGAGAGGAUGUGAGGUUUUGUACGUUGGAGAGGUUAUGCACUUAGUGGAUGCAUUACAUUUACACGCCUUUCAUUAUCUGCCUCAUGGACACACCGAGCUGUUCUGCUUUGAUAUCAAGGCAUAUCUGUGGUAUCCUCUGAGUCACAAUAAAAGCUCUCAAGUUAACAGCACCAAUUAUUCAACCAAUCACGGUUUUAAAUAAGAUCGGGAUUAGUUGAAUUCAAUGUUUUAUUGCUUGGCUUGCACGACUGACUUGGCUCACAUCAAGAUAAAGUCUGAAUCAGGGAAGCUUUGACCUUGUUCUCAUCUGCAGUACGUAAUUCCUCAUUGCUUGGUAAAGUAGUGAAUUUGCCAGCUGAUUCAUUAAUGUUUAGGUGUAAAUUGGCAGUAGUUCUUUGGUACUGGACUAAGCUAUGAUUUCGAGUGUUUUGUGAGUUUAAUUAGUGUCUUUAAAUUCUGUUAUUUGGAUAGUAAAAUCCUCCAGAUCCUCGUUAUCACAUAAAGCAUUAGAAAAACAUUGUGGGCUAGGGGCUAUGGGCUAGGUAGUUGCACGAAAACAGAGAGUUGAGGCUGAAGGGAGAUUUUCUUGCACUACAGGCCAUAUGCUGCUGCAGGGAAUGCAUUGCUACACAUCUAAUGCUCCAUUUCCAGCUGAGCAUCACCAUCUGGCUCCACUGUUUGGUUUAUUAUGCAACACCAAUAUGCAUGUUAAACUCCAGGGACGAUUAGAACGAUGACUGUCAGAACUUCUUCACUUUUCUGCCUCUUCACGCAUGGCAACAGGCAUGAAACCCUUGGACAUGCACGCAUGCACAUGCCUCUGUGUUUGUGUCUAACAUGUACUUAAUGCUGGGCUGGGAUCAUUGUCAGUUGCCUGUUGUUUUUCCAUUGCUCUUGUGACUGGAUCAGUGUAUGCAUACCAUCUGAGCUUUGUUUACUCUUGCAGGAGUCCAUCUCUGUUAGCUUCUAUUAAAAGUGUGGGACAGAGUUUAGAAAUGGGUGUUUAAUUCUUGUAGGAUCUGACUAUUUUUAGAUGUUUCUGUUAAACAGAGCCCAUCUCCUUCAUUGGCAGGCUUAUAUCAAUCACUACAAUUUCAGUACCAGGGAUACUGUUAUCUAUUUAAUGUCUGUAAAUGCUGCCUGGGGUUCUUUUUUUUCUUCCUAGAAUCGUGUUUUAUUUUCAAGUACUUUUGAGGAGCUUACAAUACAAAAAAACUCACUCCUAUAUUUAUUAUAAAUAUGUAGAACUUAAGUAAAAUAAAGUUGUUGUUUUUUUCCUCAAGUAAGUUAACCUACUUUAAACUUCCUACAUUAGUUGGGUUCUUUAUGGCUGACUGCUUAUACAACAGAGCAAGUGAUGAACAAAAAUAUGCUGUUUGGCACUGUUGGAUGAAAGGCUCUACAAAAGGUGAUUCAUCUAAUCCAGUCCCAGUGGAAAAGCACAACAUCAGAGGCUUUAUGUCCUGCCCAGACGUCUCUUGUCUCUCCUUCCUUUUUUCCCCCUUUUUUUCCAUUUGCUCUUGUUGUUGGAUUUGUCCUCC
Molecule: RNA transcript, 2957 nt
Organism: Haplochromis burtoni (Burton's mouthbrooder)
Lineage: Eukaryota; Metazoa; Chordata; Actinopteri; Cichliformes; Cichlidae
Gene: cdc14b
Gene name: cell division cycle 14B
Exons: 13
Source: RefSeq, a predicted model, not a curated record